GUGCUCAAUUUGGCAGCGUGUGUACUAAAACUGGAACCAGACAAAGCAGACUGGCAUGGCCCCCUGCGCAAGAACGACACCCGAAUUCCUGCAGUGGUCCAGAUUUUG
This 108-nucleotide small nuclear RNA is filed under the name Procavia capensis (Cape rock hyrax). Lineage: Eukaryota; Metazoa; Chordata; Mammalia; Hyracoidea; Procaviidae. The record is from RNAcentral.